Molecule: ribosomal RNA, 511 nt
Filed under: uncultured Bacillota bacterium
Lineage: Bacteria; Bacillati; Bacillota
Description: bacterial SSU rRNA
Rfam family: Bacterial small subunit ribosomal RNA
Source: RNAcentral
UAGGGAAUCUUCCACAAUGGACGAAAGUCUGAUGGAGCAACGCCGCGUGAGCGAUGAAGGCCUUCGGGUCGUAAAGCUCUGUUGUUAGGGAAGAACAAGUACCGGAGUAACUGCCGGUACCUUGACGGUACCUAACCAGAAAGCCACGGCUAACUACGUGCCAGCAGCCGCGGUAAUACGUAGGUGGCAAGCGUUGUCCGGAAUUAUUGGGCGUAAAGCGCGCGCAGGCGGUCCUUUAAGUCUGAUGUGAAAGCCCACGGCUCAACCGUGGAGGGUCAUUGGAAACUGGGGGACUUGAGUACAGAAGAGGAAAGCGGAAUUCCACGUGUAGCGGUGAAAUGCGUAGAGAUGUGGAGGAACACCAGUGGCGAAAGGCGGCUUUCUGGUCUGUAACUGACGCUGAGGCGCGAAAGCGUGGGGAGCAAACAGGAUUAGAUACCCUGGUAGUCCACGCCGUAAACGAUGAGUGCUAAGUGUUAGGGGUUUCCGCCCCUUAGUGCUGCAGCUAACG